GCGAUUGAAUGCUGUACCAUCCGAACAACGGUAACAGUGUAUCGUCUCUAUCUCUCUCUGUGUGUGUCUGUGUUCGUGUUGUUUUCCCUUUCGCAUUCAUCAACGAUUCCACUUUGGUUCAAUCACUGAAUUGAGAUGGUAUUUAUGUUGAUUGUGUAUAUGGAUGAGUACGGGCGUAUCGUUGUAUGGGUGUAGUUUAUGUUCGAUAUGAUUCGAAAUAACAAGCAAACAAUGCACUGUGGAAUAAAGAAUGAAAAAAAAGAAGUGUUGUGCGUGCGUUCUGUGCACAAUAGCAUACAGAGUCACACAUUCCUUCGCAUUCAACGCGCUGUCAUUCACAAACCUCUCGGAUAACUUGAAUUUUUUUAAGGAGAAUACAAAAAAAUAUAACAUCAACAUCAAACACACACUGUGAAAAGUUUUUAUCAAACAUUUAUCAAUCAAUUGAAUAAGUACUAAAACAAUGAAUAAUAUCAUUUGCAUCAACUUUGUUGUCAUUGUAUUUUUUUUAAGUACAAGUGAAAGUGAACAUGCCUACUUCAAUCCUUACAAUUGUACAAAUGCACCCCGGGGUCUUGUUUAUGUUUGUGGUACUGAUGGUAAGACCUAUACUAAUAGAUUCUUUUUGAGGUGUGCUCAACAUUCAGAGUACGGACAAAGAAUAAAUUUACAAGAAAGCCAUGCUUGGAUAUGUUAUAUAUGGGAAGAAUAUAUCUCAACCUCUACACUUUUAUUAAUUAUACUUGCUCUGGUUAUACUUGCUGUUUGCUUGUGCAUUUAUCGAAAGAAACGAAUCAGUCGAAAAAAAGAAGAACCAAACCAAAAUGUUUAGAGCUGUCGAAAUUUGAAAUAAAUGAGAACAAUUAAUGCUUUUAUUUGAGACAUCAAAAUGGAACUGAUUUAUUCUGAAUUCAUCAUUUGCUUUUAUACAUUUUUAAUAAGUGACUAUUCUAAUAAAAUAUAUAAAACAAUUCUCUAAGUACAAAGUCUAAAGUCCAACCUAAUAGUUAGUGCAAUACGACGUUUGAAAAUUAACACAUAACCAAAAUAUACGUUCUAAAAUAAAUCUAAUCUAACAAACUUUCUAAAUGUAACUCCUAAAAGUAGGCAAACGCAAAAGCAUUAUUCAUUUAUGAACAACCAAUGACAAAGCAUUGUUCAUUCAUGAACAAGAACAGAUUAAUGUCAAUGCUGAAUAAAAUGUAUAAGUAGCCCAUUGAUAAUUAUGAGCAAUUUCAUAAUAUUUGCAUACUGCGAGUACAGUUGUGUACUACUCUUCAAUGAAAAUACCUCUACAUCACAUUGAAUCGUAUAUAUUUUUAUUGUGAACCAUGGACGACAUAAAGAACAAAACCAUCCACGCCAUUCUGAACCUCACUUGGGUUGGGAAAAACAUGAUUUAAAUGCUGAAUAUAAAUAUAAGUACCAGAGAGAGAGAAAUCCAGAUGUUGCUCAAUCAAAUGAACUAUGUUCAUGAAAUAUAAAGCCACUUAAUUUGGAAUUUCGAUCAAAUAACCAAAAAUAAAAAAUAUUAAGAGUUGGGUUUUAAUGAAAA
Molecule: long non-coding RNA, 1555 nt
Organism: Contarinia nasturtii (swede midge)
Lineage: Eukaryota; Metazoa; Arthropoda; Insecta; Diptera; Cecidomyiidae
Exons: 4
Source: RefSeq, a predicted model, not a curated record